GAUGAACGCUGGCGGCGUGCCUAAUACAUGCAAGUCGAGCGAACAGACGAGGAGCUUGCUCCUCUGACGUUAGCGGCGGACGGGUGAGUAACACGUGGAUAACCUACCUAUAAGACUGGGAUAACUUCGGGAAACCGGAGCUAAUACCGUAUAACAUGUUGAACCGCAUGGUUCAACAGUGAAAGACGGUCUUGCUGUCACUUAUAGAUGGAUCCGCGCCGCAUUAGCUAGUUGGUAAGGUAACGGCUUACCAAGGCAACGAUGCGUAGCCGACCUGAGAGGGUGAUCGGCCACACUGGAACUGAGACACGGUCCAGACUCCUACGGGAGGCAGCAGUAGGGAAUCUUCCGCAAUGCGCGAAAGCCUGACGGAGCAACGCCGCGUGAGUGAAGAAGGUCUUCGGAUCGUAAAACUCUGUUAUUAGGGAAGAACAAAUGUGUAAGUAACUAUGCACGUCUUGACGGUACCUAAUCAGAAAGCCACGGCUAACUACGUG
RNAcentral lists this ribosomal RNA (497 nucleotides) under uncultured bacterium. RNAcentral describes it as "partial 16S ribosomal RNA". It matches the Rfam family "Bacterial small subunit ribosomal RNA", at positions 28 to 507 of the family's 1533-position model. The record is from RNAcentral.